Molecule: ribosomal RNA, 253 nt
Filed under: uncultured bacterium
Lineage: Bacteria
Description: partial 16S ribosomal RNA
Rfam family: Bacterial small subunit ribosomal RNA
Source: RNAcentral
CACGUAGGGUGCGAGCGUUGUCCGGAAUUACUGGGCGUAAAGCGUGCGCAGGCGGUUUUGUAAGCCAGAUGUGAAAUCCCCGGGCUUAACCUGGGAAUGGCAUUUGGGACUGCAAGGCUUGAGUGCGGCAGAGGAGACUGGAAUUCCUGGUGUAGCAGUGAAAUGCGUAGAUAUCAGGAGGAACACCGAUGGCGAAGGCAGGUCUCUGGGCUGACACUGACGCUCAUGCACGAAAGCGUGGGGAGCAAACAGG